Molecule: ribosomal RNA, 253 nt
Filed under: uncultured bacterium
Lineage: Bacteria
Description: partial 16S ribosomal RNA
Rfam family: Bacterial small subunit ribosomal RNA
Source: RNAcentral
UACGGAGGGUGCGAGCGUUGUCCGGAAUCACUGGGCGUAAAGGGCGCGUAGGUGGCUUUUCAAGCGCGCGGUGAAAGCCCGGGGCUCAACCCCGGGUCGGCCGUGCGGACUGGGAGGCUCGAGCACUGUAGGGGCGGGUGGAAUUCCGGGUGUAGCGGUGGAAUGCGUAGAGAUCCGGAAGAACACCUGAGGCGAAGGCGGCUUGCUGGGCAUGAUCUGACGCUGAGGCGCGAAAGCGUGGGGAGCGAACAGG